RNAcentral lists this ribosomal RNA (494 nucleotides) under uncultured bacterium. RNAcentral's name for it is "partial 16S ribosomal RNA". It matches the Rfam family "Bacterial small subunit ribosomal RNA", at positions 31 to 507 of the family's 1533-position model. The record is from RNAcentral.
GAACGCUGGCGGCGUGCCUAAUACAUGCAAGUCGAGCGAACGGACGAGAAGCUUGCUUCUCUGAUGUUAGCGGCGGACGGGUGAGUAACACGUGGAUAACCUACCUAUAAGACUGGGAUAACUUCGGGAAACCGGAGCUAAUACCGGAUGAUAUUUUGAACCGCAUGGUUCAAAAGUGAAAGUCGGUCUUGCUGUCACUUAUAGAUGGAUCCGCGCUGCAUUAGCUAGUUGGUAAGGUAACGGCCUACCAAGGCAACGAUGCAUAGCCGACCUGAGAGGGUGAUCGGCCACACUGGAACUGAGACACGGUCCAGACUCCUACGGGAGGCAGCAGUAGGGAAUCUUCCGCAAUGGGCGAAAGCCUGACGGAGCAACGCCGCGUGAGUGAUGAAGGUCUUCGGAUCGUAAAACUCUGUUAUUAGGGAAGAACAUAUGUGUAAGUAACUGUGCACAUCUUGACGGUACCUAAUCAGAAAGCCACGGCUAACUACGUG